CCUACGGGAGGCAGCAGUGGGGAAUAUUGCACAAUGGGGGAAACCCUGAUGCAGCGACGCCGCGUGAGCGAAGAAGUAUUUCGGUAUGUAAAGCUCUAUCAGCAGGGAAGAUAAUGACGGUAUCUGACCAAGAAGCCCCGGCUAACUACGUGCCAGCAGCCGCGGUAAUACGUAGGGGGCAAGCGUUAUCCGGAUUUACUGGGUGUAAAGGGAGCGUAGACGGCAGCACAAGUCUGGAGUGAAAUCCCGGGGCUUAACCCCGGAACUGCUUUGGAAACUGUGCGGCUGGAGUGCAGGAGGGGUAAGCGGAAUUCGUGGUGUAGCGGUGAAAUGCGUAGAUAUUAGGAAGAACACCGGUGGCGAAGGCGGCUUACUGGACUGUAACUGACGUUGAGGCUCGAAAGCGUGGGGAGCAAACAGGAUUAGAUACCCUUGUAGUC
RNAcentral lists this ribosomal RNA (440 nucleotides) under uncultured bacterium. RNAcentral's name for it is "partial 16S ribosomal RNA". It matches the Rfam family "Bacterial small subunit ribosomal RNA", at positions 338 to 795 of the family's 1533-position model. The record is from RNAcentral.